This 576-nucleotide ribosomal RNA is filed under the name Cladosporium cladosporioides. Its description in RNAcentral is "LSU rRNA". It matches the Rfam family "Eukaryotic large subunit ribosomal RNA", at positions 74 to 664 of the family's 3401-position model. Lineage: Eukaryota; Fungi; Ascomycota; Dothideomycetes; Cladosporiales; Cladosporiaceae. The record is from RNAcentral.
AUUGCUCUAGUAACGGCGAGUGAAGCAGCAAUAGCUCAAAUUUGAAAUCUGGCGUCUUCGACGUCCGAGUUGUAAUUUGUAGAGGAUGCUUCUGAGUAACCACCGACCUAAGUUCCUUGGAACAGGACGUCAUAGAGGGUGAGAAUCCCGUAUGCGGUCGGAAAGGUGCUCUAUACGUAGCUCCUUCGACGAGUCGAGUUGUUUGGGAAUGCAGCUCUAAAUGGGAGGUAAAUUUCUUCUAAAGCUAAAUAUUGGCCAGAGACCGAUAGCGCACAAGUAGAGUGAUCGAAAGAUGAAAAGCACUUUGGAAAGAGAGUUAAAAAGCACGUGAAAUUGUUAAAAGGGAAGGGAUUGCAACCAGACUUGCUCGCGGUGUUCCGCCGGUCUUCUGACCGGUCUACUCGCCGCGUUGCAGGCCAGCAUCGUCUGGUGCCGCUGGAUAAGACUUGAGGAAUGUAGCUCCCUCGGGAGUGUUAUAGCCUCUUGUGAUGCACCGAGCGCCGGGCGAGGUGCGCGCUUCGGCUAGAAUGCUGGCGUAAUGGUCGGAAUCUUCCCGUCUUGAGACACGGACGACAA